RNAcentral lists this ribosomal RNA (173 nucleotides) under uncultured bacterium. RNAcentral's name for it is "partial 16S ribosomal RNA". It matches the Rfam family "Bacterial small subunit ribosomal RNA", at positions 1328 to 1500 of the family's 1533-position model. The record is from RNAcentral.
GGAAUCGCUAGUAAUCGCGGAUCGGCAUGCCGCGGUGAAUACGUUCCCGGGCCUUGUACACACCGCCCGUCACACCAUGAGAGUCGGGAACACCCGAAGUCCGUAGUCUAACCGCAAGGGGGACGCGGCCGAAGGUGGGUUCGAUAAUUGGGGUGAAGUCGUAACAAGGUAAC